This is an RNA transcript of Pezoporus flaviventris, 3901 nucleotides long. It is a transcript of the gene named ras homolog family member H, with no coding region annotated. NCBI's taxonomy places the organism in Eukaryota, Metazoa, Chordata, Aves, Psittaciformes, Psittacidae. The transcript has 2 exons. The record is from RefSeq and is a predicted model, not a curated record.
AACAAAAAAAAAUGGAAGAAGCAAAAAUAAAUCUGACAUUCAACUAUUUUUGGGAAGUUAUUGGGUCAAGAUGCUCUGGGAAGCCCAGUGGAGGGAAAUGGGUGGAAAUCAAGAUAUUGUCCAAACACAUUUCUUAUUCUGCAGUCUUGUUACACUGAGCUCACUCGAUUCAAAAGUUGUUUAUGAAGUAUUUUACAGAUGGAUGCGCUCUUUAUCCAAAAUGCAAACUGCUUAGCCAAGGGGCCUCACAUCUGGAUUAGUCUGCAGAUCAAAACAGAAAACAGUAGUUGCGUUUUUAAGCGGCUGCUAUCUGUAGCAGACAUAAUAGGAGUGAUGAUCACUGAAGACAUUUAUAUCAAUACAAUUUGCAAAUGAAAUUUAUUUCUCUAUUUCUGACAAGCCACAGUGUUCUGGUGGAAACAUUUCAGAAUGUUUGGGUGUCUGAUUUUCUUUAUCACUACCACAGUUGAAACUUAUUGCCUGGUUGCAUGCACUGGUAUUGGGAAAACCAAACCUGGUUAAAAACAGAAGAAUAGGUGUUUAAUGUGAAAAUUAAGUAACACAAGUUCUCACAUAAACUGCUAAUAUACCAAAGCCCCUUAUCCAAAAUCUUGUCUCAAACUAAAAGGAAGAUUGAAGCUUUUAGGAAGAUAGUAUUCCAGAAAUGCCUUCUGUGAGCCAGCCUUCCUUACCCUAACCCCUGUUGAUAAUUAACUUAAUUAAUUUCAUGUCAUAGGGAAAAGAAACAAAUUGAUUCCUCAGCCUAACUGUGCAGCACUGUUCUGCAAGCUUCGUAUCAGCAGGUUUACAGCGUGUUUACACAGGUUAUAGUCAGCAGCUAGUUGUAUUUUUGGCACAAACUGUCUUUCAUCUACACAUAAAUUAUCUUUUUGUUUCCUUUUUGCUUUAUCUUGUAAUUUAUUCUGUUGAUUUUUAAUCAUUUUUGGAAGCGGUAUGACUUUUUCUUGGAAUGCAUUGUACUAUCAUAAUGUUAAUGUGGACAAAUUUGCUAGCUGUCUUCAAAGAGCUCCCAUCCUGCAAGGAACACAAAAUGCAUGGCUUUAGAUAUGGAUCAGGCAGCCUGUUCCUACUGUUUCAUGGCUAGAGAUGGUCUAAAAAUGGUGAAACAGCUUCACUGAGCCCAAAAUAUUUUCUGAAAAGGACUUGGGUUCCAUUUCUCUGCCUCCGAAUCUGGUUUCAAGGCUGCUGGGAAACCCACUGCUGAUGCCUCUGACUGAGCAGCAGACAGCCCUCUGUGCUUGUCAUAGGUGCUCCUCAUGGAGCUCUGGGGCAGCUCUCCUGCUGUGCCAGCAGUCUUGGGCUGCUUCAGGAGUAUGGGACAGGAAUGCCCUCUCUGCAGUCCAAUUACCUGAUCAUCCAAAAAAGACAGCCUCUUGUGCUCCCAGUUCCUGGAGCACAGACCAUAGACCUAGCGCUUGAAAUCCUGAAACUGUCAUCAGAGCUUUGCUUUCAGUGUUGUGGUAAAAAGCUGGAAGUGAUGAGAGUCUGGCUUGCUCCAGUUGUCUUUGCUGGGAAAGGAAGGAAUCUCCACACCUGUAGUGCUUUCUCCUGCUCAGAAUCUUUAUGCUGGUGGAAGAGAGGACAAGUGUGCUAGUGAAAUGAUCCUGGUCAGUCCUAAACAGUGCUACUGGGGAAUCCUCACUGAAUUAUGACAAUCCCUAUAAACCAGUGUUGAAACAGCCCAAAAGUGCCUGCCUUGAGUUUUGCACAAGGUCAACUAAACAUGUUUUUUUAAAGUCGGGGCCAUAUUCCAGCUUACAUGAAAAUAUGCCAUCUCAUUCAUGCUACUGUAGUGUGAAUUGCACAUACAUAGUACUGCAGGGCAGUUGUUGAUCUGCUCCUUUUCUCCUAGCGUGUAUAGGAUAGCAUAGCAUGGGCUGUGCUAUGCUGUUAGGCACUGCAGCAGAGAGGAGGCAACUAUAGGAGCAGCCGAGUUCAAAGCGAAAGCUUUCUGCAGCCUGGAGGUUUUGCCCUCCUCCAUCUUCAAGGUUUUUGCAUCUGUCCCAUAGCCACCAGAGAGAAAGAUACACACACUCAUAUGCCAACCCACAACAAAACCCACACAGCAGAGCUGAGGAGCUGUCACCCGGAAGCUGACUUACCCUAAACUACUCUGCUAUUUCUCAUCACACUACAUCUGGGUCUGCUGUCACUGCUGCGUCCGGAUGAGCUAGACCCAGUUGCCAGGACUAGUUUGGCCUGGAUGUGCAGUGGUCUCUGGUCACCUCUUGAGGUUUUGUUUUGUUUUCCCUCUCAAUAACGCAAUUGUUCUAAUCUGAUGGAAAAGAAGUCCAACCAAAACAGCCAAGAGCACAGAACACCACUCUCCUUUUUUUAUUUCCCCUAUCUCGUCUAGAAGAGUUGAUUUCCAUAAUGUUUAUUUCCAACAGCCACUUCAGCUUCCUGCAUCUGAUGUGUUUUCACCUGUGAAUGGGGCAAGAGUGUGGCUGUGGCAUCUGCAGGAGGCUAGCUCUAACCCGGGAUUUACCCUGAAGAGGAAAAAGGUAGGAUAAAUGAGAUUUAGUUGUUAGGAGGCACAUCUGCCAGCAUUUUUUUUGUGUACAUGCCCAUCUGGUGCUGCUGUCAGAAUAAGGUGGGAUUGUGCAUUGCACUGUGCUACUUGCUAUUUAAGGUUUCCCAAACCCACCAUUUAGACCAGUGGGUGUUUACAGAUGUUCCAGUAGAAAAGACCAUGCACAUAUACUUACUUAACUUUAGAACGGGGUUUAAUCUAAUUUUUCAGAGAGAGAUCUGAUGAUGUAGUCAUACAAGAGAAGUCAAGUUUACCAGAGAAAGUGAGGUACAGACUUGAUGUGAAUACCAUGUUUGAGACUUGGGCAGCAGCUACAGGAUAGAAAAACCCCACAUGUGCUUGCUUCCUGCUAAGUUGAGAGAGUAGGCCUUGAUGGGGCGCAAUACCAAGUUUUUUAUUGACUAGAUUAGGUGUUGCAAAGCAGGAAAAAUAAUAGUUUUGUAUUUAUGGUGAAUCUGUAGUUUUGUAAGUAACCUGUACUUACUAAGUUCCAGAGCAAAUUAACAUUUUAAAAAUGGGCUUGAUUUUCAUGUAUAGCAAGACAUAAAUUCACAGUCCAUCAGCAGGGCAAAGUGGCUGUAUAUUCGUGUCAUUCAAUCCCACUUCAAGGGAAUUUUACUGUGCCAAGCAGCUUGAGAUGGUCUCAUGUCAGAGGAGCAUCAAGCCUUAUGUGAUUGCUUGUAUCAGAGGGCAGUCCCUAUAUCCACACGCAUCACAGUAAAACCAUGAAGCUGGAACUACAUUUCCGGAAAGUUACUAAAAAUACUCUUCCAGCCUGGUGACCAGCUUUCUCAAUAAAAUGUUUAUAUGUAGAAGUUUACUAGAUCCUGGCUCAGCUGCUCCAUUGGGAGUGUGAAUUUGGGAAUGAAAUGAGAGCACUUUCUCUUCUUCAUAAACCCAGCAACCAAGAGACUGAUGCUGAAGUUGCAUCAGCUGGUAACAACUGCUGGUGCCAGUGAUAUCAGGGAGGAAAUCUGUUGUACAACACGGGGCAGUCAUAUAAAUCUUUAAAGAUGUCGGUGGAUGCUUUGCAGGAUACGCAGAGCACACAGGAAAUGAGCAGAAAUCGUGGUGGCGGUCUUGCAGGCUGCGGCACUGGCCUGUCUUGGAGAACAGCAGGUCUGCACCAGCUGCAGCUCCUGAGAAGCUUUUCUUGGUGACUCUUUCUGAUAAAUAACUGGGAGGACACCCAGGCAAGGCGACGAAAUUCUGCUGUUUCUCUUUUUGCCUUUGCUGUGUAGCUCUAGAUGCAUAGCGCAGCUGGCUGAGAAGCUUUAAAUGAAAAAGAUUUUCAAAGAAAAAUACCUCUUGUCUCUAAAGCAAACACACCAACCCCUUUUUCUUUAU